AUUUUAUUAAAUUUUACAGUUGAUCAGAUUACUCUAUCUUGUUCUCAACUAUUGCAUUAGUAGUUGCAAAAUAAUUUUCAAAUUUUUAUAAUCUUGAAAAGAUAUAAAAAAUUUAUAUAAAAUGAAUGCCCUUACUUGUGCUCUUCUCGUUCUUGCGUGCGCUCUUAUGAGUGUCGAAGCGUUACGGAAUUAUACUGAGCCCACCACCCGCCGUCGCUUCAGGUA
This is a long non-coding RNA of Ceratosolen solmsi marchali, 225 nucleotides long. RefSeq lists it as uncharacterized. The record is from RefSeq and is a predicted model, not a curated record. NCBI's taxonomy places the organism in Eukaryota, Metazoa, Arthropoda, Insecta, Hymenoptera, Agaonidae. The transcript is spliced from 3 exons.